Molecule: long non-coding RNA, 10681 nt
Organism: Loxodonta africana (African savanna elephant)
Lineage: Eukaryota; Metazoa; Chordata; Mammalia; Proboscidea; Elephantidae
Exons: 2
Source: RefSeq, a predicted model, not a curated record
GAAAUGUGGUAUAUACAUACAAUGGAAUAAUACUCAGCUGUAAAAAAAAAAAUGAAGUUCUGAUAUAUGCUAUGACAUGGAUGAAUCUUGAAAACGUUAUGCUGAGUGAAAUAAGUCAGACACAAAAGGACAUUUAUUGUAUGACCCCACUUACAUGAAAUAUCUAGAAUAGGCAAAUGAAUAGAGGCAAAAGAUUAUUCAUGGUUGCCAGGGACUGUGGGGAGGGAAAAAUGGAGAGUUAUUGCUUAAGCGAUAGUGAGUUUCUGUUUAAGGUAAUGAAAAAAAAAUGAGAAAAAGGAUAGCAGCGAUGUUUGCACAACAUGGUGAAAUGUAAUUAAUGUCACUGAAUUGCACACUUAGAAACAGUUAAAAUGGCACAAUUAAAAAAAAUUAAAUGGUGAGGUGCGGGGACGUUGAAGUGGGGAAAAAUUAAAGGCUGCAAACAAUAAGUGAGGAAAACAAAAUUCACCAAUGUUAAAUCAAUCUUAAACACUUGCUAUUCAACAAAAUAAAUAAAAUUAUCUUUAAAGUCAACAGAUAAAUAACAACAAGCAGAGAGUGGGAAUGGCCACAUCAGAAGCAGAGUCAGGGUCCAAACACAUCUCUUCAGACAGAGAAAAGGUCCCGAUCCAAAAAGUCAAAAACUGAGCAGGAUAAAUGUUAUAUCCCAAAACCCCUCCAAUGUAUGACCACCAUCAGUGUGACAUAGCGGCCAAAAACAAAUGUAACAGGUAACCAUUUAAAAAAUGCUAAAAAAAAUACUUGCUAUUAAUUACAGUAUUAGUCACUGGGGCAGGACAGGACCCAGCCUGAAGCCCUGGUGGUACAGCAGUUAAGCUCUCAGCUGCUAACCAAAAGAUCAUCAGUUCGAACCCACCAAUUGCUCCAUGGAAGAAAGAAUGUGGGAGUCUGCUCCUGAAAAGAUUUACAGCCUUGGAAACCCUAUGGGGCAGUUCUACUCUGUCCUAUAGGGUCGAUAUGAGUUGAAAUCCACUUGAGGGCACACAACAACAACAACACCCAACCUGUGGUUAAGCUCUUGGCUAAGUGAAAGGUUGGCAAAUCAAACACACCCAGUGGCUCUGCGGGAAAAAGACCUGCCAAACUGCUUCUGUAAAGACUACAGCCAAAAAAACCCUGUGGGACCAUUCUACUCAGUCACAUGGGGCCUAACUGUUCCUAACCCAAUUUAAAUUCCAUAGUCAGUCAUUAUCACCACUCCCUCCUAUGCACCCUCCAAUUCUUGUUCUUCUCUUGAUUGUACUUGCCUGGCAAAAACAUCAAGUCUUCUUAAAUCAGACUCUUUUUGACUCUUUCAUCCCUGAAUUUAUACAACUAAAAACAGCUAGAGAAAAGCAUACAACCAUGCUGACUAGUCUCACUUGAAUCUAUGAUCCCUAACAUCAAACAACAAACAUCAAAUAGGCCUUUUGUGCUGCCAGGCAAUUAUACUGUUUCCCUGCUUCAUUCUCGCACUCUCCUAGACAACUAGCAGAUGAAGUCAGGAAGUGAUGGAGGGCAUCAACCUUCCAAUAAUUCUUCACCCAUCUUCACUUGAGGCUUCCUUAUUGAGAAAACAGAAGACAAUUGAAGAAUAUUUCCAUACACUUCCACCAUGACAUCUACCUACUGCCCCACUGGGUUUCCAAGGAACAACUGGUGGAUUCGAACUGCCAACCUCUUGGUUAGCAGCCAAGUUCUUAACCACUGUGCCACCAUGGCUCUCUACCUACUGUAGACACCCCCAAAGUCCUAAAUAGGCUGUGCUGGGCCAGCUGAAAGAGGUCAACUUGAGGUCAGCAACAAGAAACCUCCCCUAAAGCAAAAUUCCUUAAAGACCAAAUUUCCAGAUGUCCUUUGAUAUACGGCACGGCCUUAAUAACUCCAUUUUUACAACUGACUGGCCUUGAAACCCUUCACAUGCUCUCGUUCUAUCUCCCGAGAAACUAACAUGAAAGGAAUUUACAAUGGCCUUCAGGAGACUGCCCUGCCUGGACGCCAAUACUUUAAAUUCUUAAGAACUGACCACCAUGAGGACUGACGCACAUGAUUUUUGACAAAAGGUAUAAUGCUAUAUCCAAAGCACACCCAGUGAAGAUCUGUUACGUAUACAGUCUGCUUUCACUAUCUCCUCUUCAGAUUGCCUUCGAUAUACUUUUGGUUUAAAGUUGCCUGAUUCUAAUAGUGCCUACUCACAAGAAGAAUAUUCAGUUACUAAUUUCUGGUGUUUCUCCACGUGUUCAGGUUUUUGAUGCUACCUACCUACACCUGUGCCCUAUUCUAGGAGAAUUGACUGUGCUUCUAGCAAAUGACUAUUUCUCUAUGCAUUGUUAUUGUUGUGUGCGUCAAGUUGAUUCCGUCUCGUAGAGACUCCAUGUGACAGAUUAGAACUGCCCCAUACGGUUUCCUAAGCUGUAAUCUUCACAGGAGCAGAUUGCCAGGUCCUUUCUCCUGUGGAGUAGCUGGUGGGUUCAAACUUUCGGUUAGCAGCAGAGCACUUAACCACUGUGCCACCAGGGCGCCUUACUUAUGCACUAAACUGAAAAAAUUCACACUUGUUGCUGUCAAGUCAACCCUAUAUGACAGAGAAGAAACUGCCUCAUAGGGUUUCCAAGGAGCAGCUGGUGAAUUCGAACUGCCAAUCUUUUUAGUUAGCAGAGCCAGACUUCUUAACCACCAAGCCACUUAAACACUAACCAAAACCAAAAAACCAAACCCAGUGCUGUCGAGUCGAUUCCGACUCAUAGCGACCCUAUAGGACAGAGUACAACUGCCCCAUAGAGUUUCCAAGGAGCGGCUGGUGGAUUCAAACUGCUGACCCUUUGGUUAGCAGCUGUAGCACUUAACCACUACACCACCAGUGUUUCCACUUAUGCACUAAAAAAAAAAAAAUGACCCUGCUCCAGCAAUCCUCUCACCUUUCUCCCUGCUUUAAGAAAUUCCUUCUCUACUGGAUUUUUCCCCAUCAGAUUACAAACAUGUUAUUUCUCCCAUCUAAUAGGCAAAACAACACUCUCUUGAGCCCACUUUUCACUCCAGCUACUGUGCCAUUUUUUCAGGAAAAUUUCUUUUUCUCUCCUCUCACUGUCUUGACCCAUUCAUUGAAACACUCAGUCUGCAUCUUACUUGACCCAUCAACAGCAUUCCAUAGUCUUGAAACAUUUUCUCCAGUGAUAUUCCAGGACACCAUACUCUCCUCAAUUUUUUUCUCACCUUACUAUCCACUUCUCCUUAGUCUCCUUUGCUAGUACCUUUUCAUCUUUCCUAUCAUUAAAAAAUAAAAUCUUGUGUCAGAUCAAAAGAAUAACACAAUAUUUGAUUUCUCUAUUACUUCAUAAACAAUUUUCAAAUUCCGGCAACAUUUCCCUCAUGCAAGAGGAACUCCCUUUCAGAGAAUGAAGAAUUCACAGAGAUUUUAAAAAUUUUUGCUUGAUGAAUACCAGUCUCCAUGGUGAUGAAGUACUUAAUGGUUACUGAGUUACCAUUAAAAAGAGAUUUCUGGAAAUUUGCCCCUUUACCCAUUGUUAGCUAUGAGACCUCUUGAAACUAAAAUUUGGAGAAGCCCAGAGACUUUUUCAUUAAAUCACAAGGUAAUGGUUUUGUUAUUGACUGUUCUUUGAAUAGGAAAGAAAAGUCAAUUAGCAACUUUGGGUGAAAAAAACAGGCCAGUGAAGCUGCAGGCAAGAACAAUUGUGGGUCAAGAAUUUUUAUGUUUAUGGACAAGAAAAGCCUCUUGAAAUUAAAGUAAAAUAGUUUUAAUAAGAGCUUUAUUCCACAAUCUCUUCAACAUUAGAUUUCUCCAGGGCUCAGUUCUUAGAACUUUUCACUUUUCUAUCUAUUCUCAUUUCAAAGGUGAUCUCACCUAGCUUCAUAAAUUUAAAGACCAUCUGCAGGGCCCAAAGACCAUCAAAUGGGGAAAAGACAGUCUUUUUAACAAAUGGUUCUGGCAAAACUGGAUGUCUAUCUGCAAAAAAAUGAAACAGGAUCCAUACCUCACGCCAUACACAAAAACUAAUUCAUUAUGGAUCAAAGACCUAAAUAUAAAGCCAAAAACUAUGAAGUUCAUAGAAGAAAAAAUAGGAUAAACGCUAAAGGCCCUAAUACAGAGCAUUGAUAGGAUGCAAACCACAACCAACAACACACAAACUCCAGAAGAUAAGCUAAAAAACUGGGGUCUUCUAAAAAUUAAAUACUUAAUGCUCAUCAAAAGGCUUCACCAAAAGAGUAAAAAGAGAACCUGCAGACUGGGAAAAAAAUUUUGGCUAUCACAACUCAGACAAAGGUCUAAUCUCUAAAAUCUACAAGAAAAUCCAACACCUGUACAACAAAAAGACAAAUAAUCCAGUUAAAAAAGGGGCAAAGGAAAUGAACAGACACUUCACCAAAGAAGAUAUUCAAGCGGCCAACAGACACAUGAGGAAAUUCUCGUGAUCACUAGCCAUUAAAAAAUUAGAGAAGUGCAAAUCAAAACCACAAUGGGAUACCAUCUCGCCUGGCAUUACUGGCAUGAAUCAAAAAAACAGGAAAUAACAAAUGUUGGAGAGGCUGCGGGGAAGUCGGAACACUUACGCACUGCUGGUGAGAAUGCAAAAUGAUACAACCAUUUUGGAAGAUGACACAGUGCUUCCUUAGGAAGCUAGAAAUAGAAAUACCAUAUGAUCUAGCAACCCCAUUCCUAGGAAUAUAUCCUACAGAAAUAAGAGUCAUCACGCUAACACAUAUGCACACCCAUGUUCAUUGCAGCAUUUUCCACAAUAGCAAAAAAAUGGAAACAACCUAGAUGCCCUUCAACAGAUGGACAGAUAAACAAACUAUGGUACAUACACAUGAUGGAGUAUUAUACAACUAUAAAGAACAACAAUGAAUCUGUGAAGCAUCUCAUAGCAUGGAUGCAUCUGGAGGGUAACCUGCUGAGUGAAAUAAGUCAAUCACAAAACUACAAAUACUGUACGAGACCACUACUGUAAAAACUCAUGAAAAGGUUUACACACAACAAGAAACAGUCUUUGAUGGGGGAUGGGAAAACACUAAAUAGACAAUAGAUAAGUGAUAACUGGUGAAGAGUAAGACAGUACACAAUACCGGGGAAGCCAGCAAAACUUGUACAAGGCAAGGUCAUGGAAGCUCCCUGAGGGAUGGGAUUGCUGGGCUGAGGGCUGUGGGGACCACGGUCUCGGGGAACAUCUAGCUCAACUGGCAUAACGUACUUUAUAAAGAGAAUGUUCUACAUUCCACUUUGAUGAGUAGUGUCUGGGGUCUUAAAAGUCCAUGAGUGGCCAUCUAGGAUAUUCCACUGGUCUCACCCCUUCAGGAGCAAGGAAUAAUGAAGAAAACUAAAGAUACAAGUGAAAGAUUAGUCCAAAAGACUAAUGGACCACAUCUACCAUGACCUACACCAGACUGAGUCCAGUACAACUAGAUGGUGCCUGGCUACCACCACUGACUGCUCUGACAGGGAUCACAACAGAGGGUCCUGGACAGAGCUGGAGAAAAAUGUUGAACAAAAUUGUAACUCAACAAGAAAGACCAGACUUGCUGGCCUGAUGGAGUCUGGAGAAACCCUAAGAGUAUGGCCCCCGGACACCCUUUCAGCUCAGUAAUGAAGUCACUCCUGAGGUGCACCCUUCAGCAAAAGAUUGGACAGGCCCAUAAAACAAAACGAGACUAAAGGGCACACCAGCCCUGGGGCAAGGACUAGAAGGCAGAAGGGGACAGGAAAGCUGGUAACAGGGAACCCAAAAUUGAGAAGGGAGAGUGUUGACAUGUCGUGGGGUUGUUAACCAAUGUCAUAGAACAAUGUGUGUACUAAUAUGUGUAAACCUUCAUCUAAAGUGCAAUAAAAAAAAAAAAUACCAUCUGCAGGCUUUUUUAUAUCUUGCAAUGGUUAAGCACUCGGCUGCCAACCAUUAGGUUGGCAGCUUAAACCCACCAAGUUACUCCAUGGGAGAAAGACCUAGUCAUCUGCUUCCAUAAAAAUUGUUAUUGUUCUUGUUUUUAGGUGCCAUCAAAUUUGUUCCCACUCACAGCAACAACAACAGAACAAAACACUGCCUGGUCCUGAGCCAGUCUCACAAUCUUUAUGCUUGAACCCAUUCUUGCAGCCACUGUGUCAAUCCAUCUCUUUGAGGGUCUUCUUCUCUUUCACUGACCCUGUAGUUUACUAAGCAUGUUGUCCUUCUCCAGGGACUGGUCCCUCCUGAUAACAUGUCCAAAGUAUGUGAGAUGAAGUCUCACCAUCCUUGCUUUUAAGGAGUAUUCCGGCUGUAUUUCCUUCAAGACAGAUUUGUUAAUCUUUUGGCAGUCCAUGGUAUAUUCAACAUUCUUCACCAACACCAUAAUUCAAAGGUGUCAAUUCUUCUCCUGUCUUCCUUAUUCAUUGUCCAGCUUUCACAUGAAUGUAAGGCGAUUGAAAAAGCCAUAACUUGGGUCAGGCACACCUUAAUCCUUAAAGUGACAUCUUUACUUUCUAACACUUUAAAAAGAUCUUUUGCAGCAGAUUACAGCAGAAUCCAUAAAGAUUACAGCCAAGAAAACAGUAUGCAGCAGUUAGUUCUACUCUCUCAAAAGGGAUCACUAUGAGUCGGAUUCAACUCCCCAACACCCAACAACAACAGUCCCACUGAGACAGAGUCCCCCGCAGUAUUACAUUAAAAAUCCUGUUUCCUUUGCUGGGCUUCCUCCCCUCCAGCUUUGCAUUUGAAUCCAGCUUUUGCUUGGAGGUUAUACACAAACCCCAUUGCACCUGUGUAGUAUAUGAUUAAGAAUGUUGCUGACAUAACUUGUAUGAACUCCUUACUUGUGAACCCCUUAAAAGUAACUUGUCUGCCUGCUCUUGGGAAGCACUCUUGGCAGCAGCAGCGCAGACUGGCUCCUUUUCCUUGUACAAUGAUAUAACGAUGCUUUUCCUGUUCUUGCACCUCGGUCUCUUGUUUAUUGGCCAAUAUGAGUCAUGCUGAACAAGAACCUGGAGUUCCACCUGUUGACACCACUUAGCCACUAACCUCCAUUCUUCUUUAUCCAGCUGCCUCAAGACAUCUCCACCUGAAUGUCUGUCUAGUAGGCAUCUCAUAUUUAAUUCUUCCAAACCUGAACCCCCAAUCUUUCCCAGUAACUCAGGCUGAAAUUCCUCAAGUCUUCCUUUUUCUAAGACCUCAUCUCCUAGCUGUCAUUUUAUGCUAUGUGCUCUCUGUUGGCUACAUCAUUUCUAUCACCCUGGUUCAGAUCACCAUCAUCUCUCAUCUAAACUACUGCAAUAACAUCCUAAUCGAUAUCCCUGCUUCCUCUCUUGUUCUUUUCAAUUUAUUCUUAACGCAGAGUGAUCCUUUUCAAACUGCAGUCACAGCAUAUCAUUUCCAAACCACUCCCAGUAGAAGUUAGGGUCAUUAAAAUGUCCUUUAAAGCCUUACAUAAUCCCCACACACACACACACCACCUUUACUUCUCUGAUCUCAUUUCCUACUAAUUUUUUCUUCACUCCUUCAGCUCCAGCCAUACUGCCUCUCUGCUGUUCUUUUAACAUGACAAACACAUCCCCACUUCAGGGCCUUUUCACUGGCUAUUUCCACUCUCUGGAAUGGUAUCGUUCCAGAUAUUCAUAUGGCUAAUCUCUCACCUUCUAGUUUUUCGCUCAUAUGUCAUGGUUGGGGCUGGAGAUACAGAUUUGGGAGCCAUUUGCAUUUGCAUAGCAGCUGAAGCCAUGGUAUUGGUGAGAUCAAACAAGGACUGUGUGUAUGAUGAAAAGAGAAGAUGACCAAGUACAGAGCCCUGGGAAACAUUACUGAGGAAAAGAAUCCCAACAGAAGAAAAAAAAAAGCAUUGACAGAGAGAGCACAGUCGUGAGGCCUGGAGAACCAGCAACCAUUUGGCAAUCUUGAGGCAACAAGUUGUAGAAAUAAAAUCAACAUGUUAAGGAUGCCAGAGCGGAAAUGUAAAAGAAUUUGGAUUCCUAAGUGUCUUCUUGAGCUGCUGCACCGCGUCAAGACUGUCCUACCCUAGGGUUCUCAUUAUUUGAGCCAAACGAACCCUUAUUUAUGUAAGACAUAAUUUUUGCAUUUUCUGGUAAUUUGCAAUCAAGUGCAUUCAUACCUGAAACAGAGGCCAGGGUAGGUAGCUGUGUUAGCCACAAUUCUUUGGGUUGCAAGAAAUAAAGAUAUAAUAAAUUAAUGUUAGAAAAGAAAAAGAGAUGGGAGAGGGUUUAUUGGCUUGUAUAACUGGAAAGUCCAAAAGCUUUAGGCCCAGCAGGAUCUAUGGUUCAAAUAAUGUCGUAAAGAUGUCAUUUGUCUUCAUCUUUCAGUUCUUCUUGCCUCUGAUUGACUUAACUCUCUCCCAGAUCUCUAAAUAUGAUGGUACCUCCAGCAACUCCCUUCUUUCAUAUUCUUUACAGCUAACGACUCCAUAGGCAGACCCUGACCCUUUCCCUCACAGUGUACAUAUCAAUCCCCCACAAGAAUUGCCUGGUCAGCUUGGGUCAGGAGUCCACACAUAUGGUGGGUGUUAUUAGGCCACAUAACCAACAGCCCCACUAACACUUUGUGCAGUGGAAGAAGCGCAGUUCCCAAAAGACAUGGAUGUUCAACAUGAAGAAAAGUAAUAGUUGUCAGCUAUAGUAGAAAAACAAAGCGGGUACAGAAAGGAGGCUAAUAAGCUGAGAGAAAAUGAGUUAUUGUACUAGAGAUAUUAUUGAGGCUUAUAAUUUGUGUGGAGAAAGGACACAAGAUAUAAAUGGAUAGGAAUUUGUGCUUAAAAGGUAAGAUAUAGAACUUCAAUAUCUCAGAAGGGUGAAACAGUUCUAGAUACUGUAAGUAAUGUAUAUAUAAUGUAAUACCUAGAAAAACAAUUUAAAAAGUCACGCAAAGAGAUAUGCUCAAAAGCAUUGUAGACAAAUCAAAAUUCAAUAGACGUGUUAAAUACCAGAUUAGAUUCAUCUGAAUGGAGGGUCAUGAACUGGAAGACAGACUAAUUUAAUCAUUAAAAAAAUUAAAAAAACAGCAAAUACUUACUGCAUAUUUACUACGUGCAAGAUAUUCUUCCAAGGGAUGAGGAAAUUGUAGAGAAAAAAACAGUCCCUGCCUUCAUGGAACUAGUAAGCAGAGAUGGAAGUCAAUUAAAUAAAUAUUAAUUAUAUAAUUUAAACCAGGAGGAAAAUUUGUCAUUUUAAAUAUAUAUGAUUGAAAAGUAGGAUUAAAAGUUAAUAAUCUAAGUAUUCAAUGUAAAUAUUUGGAAAUAAAAUAGAGUAAACCUAAAGAAAAUAGUUGGAGUCCUGGUGGCACAACAGUUAAGCUCUUGGCUACUAGCUGAAAGAUUGGCGGUUUGAACACACCUAGCUGGGUUGGGUUAGUGGCUCUGCAGGAGAAAGACCUGGCACUCUGUUCCCGUAAAGCCUGGAAAACUCUAUGGGGCAGUUCUAUUCUAUCACUGGGAUCGCUAUGAGUCGAAAUUUUGCACCCUGACAGCACCUGAAAACAACGAUAACAAAGAAGACAGAAGAGCAUUGUAAGUAAAAAUCAUUAAAAUAUACCACAGACCAUUACAUUUAGAGAGCUAUAGAAUAAUCUAAGUGUAAGGCAACGAAAACCCAAUGGAUCACAACACUCCGAUUCCACUGUGCAUGGGUUUGCCAUGAGUUAGGGCAGACUUGACAAAAAACAACAACAAAAGUGGUAAGAAUAAAAAUGGAGGGACAAAGCAACAUCACUAAGGAAACACUGACAGGAUUUCAAAACUGAUAGUGUGUGGGAAACAAGGAAGUUACUCAAAGAUGACUCAAUGGCCUCAUACUUGGGUGAUUACGAUAUAAAAAUAGAAACUUGAUAGUGUGGAGAAGGUGCUGGCUUGAAAGAAUACAUGAGUUUGUUUGGAAAUAAAUGUAAAAUGAGGUUAAAGCAGAAAAAAAAAAUUUUUUUUUUUUUUAAAAAAAGCAGAACAUGAAGUGAAAAACAAUAGAAGCAUAAUUUAUACUUCUUGUUAAAAUUCAAACAACUCAGACAAAUUGGGAAGGUGGUUACAGAUGGUUUUUUAAAACUCAAAUGUACUCAACCCACCUGGAUCAAAGGAGAAUGAAGAACACCAAUGUCACAUGGUAACUAUGAGCCCGAGACAGAAAGGGCCACAUGAACUAGAGACUUACAUCAUCCUGAGACCAGAAGAACUAGGUGGUGCCCGGCCACAAUCGAUGACUACCCUGACAGGGAGAACAACAGAGAACCCCUGAGGGAGCAGGAGAACAGUGGGAUGCAGACCCCAAAUUCUCAUAAAAAGACCAGACUUAAUGGUCUGACUGAGACUAGAGGAAUCUUGGCGGUCAUGGUCCCCAAACCUUCUGUUGGCCCAGGACAGGAACCAUUCCCAAAGACAACUCAUCAGACAUGGAAAGGACUGGACAAUGGGUUGGAGAGAGAUGCUGACGAAGAGUGAGCUACUUGUAUCAGGUGGACACUUGAGACCGUGUUGGCAUCUCCUGUCUGGAGGGGAGAUAGGAGGGUAGAGAGGGUUAGAAACUGGCAAAACGGUCAUGAAAGGAGAGACUGGAAGAAGGGAGCAGGCUGACUCAUUAGGAGGGAGAGUAAGAGGGAGUAUGGAGUAAGGUGUAUAUAAGCUUAUAUGUGACAGACUGACUUGAUUUGUAAACUUUCACUUAAAAAAAAUAAAGCACAAUAAAAAUUAUUAAAAAAAAAAAAAAAAA